CAGUCGCCGCGGUAAUACGAAGGGGGCUAGCGUUGCUCGGAAUGACUGGGCGUAAAGGGCGCGUAGGCGGCACAUACAGUCAGAUGUGAAAUUCCUGGGCUUAACCUGGGGGCUGCAUUUGAUACGUAUGAGCUAGAGUGGGGAAGAGGGUUGUGGAAUUCCCAGUGUAGAGGUGAAAUUCGUAGAUAUUGGGAAGAACACCGGUGGCGAAGGCGGCAACCUGGUCCUUGACUGACGCUGAGGCGCGAAAGCGUGGGGAGCAAACAGGAUUAGAUACCCCCGUAGUCCCUGUCUCUUAUAC
RNAcentral lists this ribosomal RNA (301 nucleotides) under uncultured bacterium. RNAcentral's name for it is "partial 16S ribosomal RNA". It matches the Rfam family "Bacterial small subunit ribosomal RNA", at positions 509 to 807 of the family's 1533-position model. The record is from RNAcentral.